Molecule: transfer RNA, 69 nt
Filed under: Marmota monax (woodchuck)
Lineage: Eukaryota; Metazoa; Chordata; Mammalia; Rodentia; Sciuridae
Description: tRNA.Thr
Source: RNAcentral
GGGUGUAGCUCAGUGGCAGAGUGCUUGCUUAGUAUGCCCCAGGCCCUGGGUUCAACUCCCAGCAUCACA